GACGAACGCUGGCGGCGUGCUUAACACAUGCAAGUCGAACGGAAAGGCCCUGCUUUUGUGGGGUGCUCGAGUGGCGAACGGGUGAGUAACACGUGAGUAACCUGCCCUUGACUUUGGGAUAACUUCAGGAAACUGGGGCUAAUACCGGAUAGGAGCUCCUGCUGCACGGUGGGGGUUGGAAAGUUUCGGCGGUUGGGGAUGGACUCGCGGCUUAUCAGCUUGUUGGUGGGGUAGUGGCUUACCAAGGCUUUGACGGGUAGCCGGCCUGAGAGGGUGACCGGCCACAUUGGGACUGAGGUACGGCCCAGACGCCUACGGGAGGCAGCAGUGGGGAAUAGUGCACAAUGGGCGGAAGCCGGAUGCAGCAACGCCGCGUGCGGGAUGACGGCCUUCGGGUGGUAAACCGCUUUCGCCUGUGACGAGGCGUGAGUGACGGUAAUGGGUAAAGAAGCACCGGCUAACUACGUG
This 468-nucleotide ribosomal RNA is filed under the name uncultured bacterium. RNAcentral's name for it is "partial 16S ribosomal RNA". It matches the Rfam family "Bacterial small subunit ribosomal RNA", at positions 28 to 507 of the family's 1533-position model. The record is from RNAcentral.